Molecule: long non-coding RNA, 750 nt
Filed under: Physcomitrium patens
Lineage: Eukaryota; Viridiplantae; Streptophyta; Bryopsida; Funariales; Funariaceae
Description: long non-coding RNA (PPAT_LNC007682)
Source: RNAcentral
UAAUCUUUGUCUUGUUGAUAGUCUUGAUGAUUGGUCAUUUUCUUUAAGUUUUACAAAUUUUAUUUGUAAAUCUCUCAUCCCACAUAUGAUAUCAUUGAUGUCCACUUCUUCUUUCUUUGAUGUAGCCAUUGAAGGUUGAAUCAAAGAUGUUGGAUGGAUAAUAGACAUUUUUAUCUUAAACGCUUGUAAUAAUCUUUAAAAAUCUACCUUAACUUUUUUCUUUUCUCCUUUUGUAAAUAAUCCUACUGUAUCUUCUAUUUCUUUCUAAUUUUUUGUAAAUCCUUCAUCUUCUUCUUUAUCUUCAAGCAAGUUUUCUAAAUUUUCUUACAACUCUCCAUCAACUACUUAAAGAAAGAGCUCUACUUUACUUGGAUCUAAUAAUUAUCUUUUUUUCUUUGAUAAAGAAGAAUAUUGCUUUUUAAAACCUCCUUAAUAAUUUUGUUGCUAGAAGAUCCUUCUUUGGCCUUUCUUUUCAUUCAAAAAAUGAUUUCUUUAUAAUCUAAUCACUUUCUUCUAAGAAAAAUUCAUCUUUUAAUACUUGAGAUAAUUUUUUUCCAAGAACCAUUAGAAUAUCUUACAAUAGAUUUAAUAUGAUUCUUAUUUCUAAUACAAUAGCCAGUUUAAAUAAUUGAACCAUUUCUCUUUCUGGAACACGCUUCAACUCUAUUUCUUUUACAUAGCACCUUAAAUACUUUGUAAUGUCCUUUCCUUCAAAUUAAUCAAUCUUAUCUACAACUACUUGUAUUGAUU